GUGGGGAAUAUUGGACAAUGGGCGAAAGCCUGAUCCAGCCAUGCCGCGUGUGUGAAGAAGGUCUUCGGAUUGUAAAGCACUUUAAGUUGGGAGGAAGGGCAUUAACCUAAUACGUUAGUGUUUUGACGUUACCGACAGAAUAAGCACCGGCUAACUUCGUGCCAGCAGCCGCGGUAAUACGAAGGGUGCAAGCGUUAAUCGGAAUUACUGGGCGUAAAGCGCGCGUAGGUGGUUAGUUAAGUUGGAUGUGAAAGCCCCGGGCUCAACCUGGGAACUGCAUCCAAAACUGGCGAGCUAGAGUACGGUAGAGGGUGGUGGAAUUUCCUGUGUAGCGGUGAAAUGCGUAGAUAUAGGAAGGAACACCAGUGGCGAAGGCGACCACCUGGACUGAUACUGACACUGAGGUGCGAAAGCGUGGGGAGCAAACAGGAUUAGAUACCCGAGUAGUCC
RNAcentral lists this ribosomal RNA (450 nucleotides) under uncultured bacterium. Its description in RNAcentral is "partial 16S ribosomal RNA". It matches the Rfam family "Bacterial small subunit ribosomal RNA", at positions 354 to 796 of the family's 1533-position model. The record is from RNAcentral.